UUGUUUUUAAAGUAUUUUUUUAUUUAGGAAGUGAAACAAAAUGCCCAGUGUUGUCUUUGUGCUUUACAUGGUUUCAAACCGGCCAUUUGAGGUCUCUAAAAAAAAAACCUCAGAGGAAGAAUUCAAAACAAAGCAGGAAGCUCCAAACGAAUUCAUCAUUCUCCCCUUCAUCAUUAUCAUCAUCACUGCCAACAUCAUCAUCAUCAUCAUCAUCAUCAUCACUCGUUACAGUUCUGUAGAAAUAAUCAGACUCCAAAGUCACAUCAGUGCUUAUUUACAAGGCCUCUUGCUGCAAAAUAGUUAGGUUUUUAUUUACUCUAAAAAAGGUGUGGUGUAGAUGCGUUCACAAAUAUAUUAAGAAAAAUGACACAGCACAUACUGAAAGUGUCAUUUUUAACAGUAUUUUGUGGUGUAGGACAACAGCCUGUGUUACAUCGGCAUAUUUGUUGCCGUUUCUAUCUUUGAAUCAUUGUAGUAGAAAAAUGAGAAAGAGGUUAUUUCUACAUACAAGGCAUCGUCUACCUGAAUCUAAACUCUUUCAUUGUGCUACUAUCUUUGAAAGAAAAGGUUUUAGGUUAUAAUUCAUAAGAGGAAGUGCUUUUAUAUAAGAAUAGGUAAACUAGCUUGUGGCUAUAGUAGGCUACAGUAGUUCAUAGUAGAAUCUAAGUGUUCGGCGAUGCACUCUGGUGCUGAAAUAUUGACCAAAUGUCUCCUCUUCGUUCUCAACAAAAGUCUGAAUCACAUCGAGAACUGCCACAUUAAAUUCACAACAGCCAGAGAUGAUGAAAAGAAAAACAACCUGAAAUCAGGAAGAGCCUUUGAGUCUUCAAAUGGAGUUUGGUGUUUUCAUGUAAAGCCCUCGAGCAAAACUGAUCUUCUGAUUGGAUUUUAAAAAAAAUACUGAGAAGAGAGCACAAUAAUUGUGACCAACUUAUAGGAAGAAACUCUGGCUGUGUUCAAGGACUAGUGAGGAUCAAAGAGAAGCCGGUUCAGCAGCACAGCUGUUGUUUCACAUCUUAAACAAUUCCAAUAUGCUACCAAGGCAGAAGAGUGGCCACAGUUUUAACUGUUCAGGGUUUGCGUUUCGUCCAUGUUUCAGCACCAGAGGUCUACAGCAGUACCUUCUACUCUCUACGAUAUUUUAGAAUAAUAAUACGAGGCAGGCAGUGCAUAAACCAUGUACAAAAAGACCCAUCCCGACCCAACCCAGAGCCCUCUGUCUAAAGGAGUAGAACCACCUGUGUGAACCCCUGGAAGCCCCAGCAGCUGCUAAUACUCAUACAGACACAACUGUCUAUAAGAUUAUAAUGAUACCAAUAUAAAAUUGUAACUAGGAGGCAACGUUUUCCACACUGUGUACCAAAGCAGCUGAGUUUGAAAAACAGACUCCCUGCUCACUCCAAUUUGGUCUUUCUGACCGGCUGUCACAGCGGCGUCACAGUCCCUGUAAAUUUAGAGCUCCAAACCCAACCCGCCAUUAUUUAACACUAACUUGGUUCGCUAACUCCCUGAAAUGUCAUUUCUCGUAACUACAUAGAAUAGUGGCAUUUGAAGAAAAAAAAAAAUCAAGAUGUUACAAGCAGUUAUGACUCACGUGUCUUCAAAAAUAUCAUGCAUUAUUGCUCUAUCGGAUAUCAACGAAAUAUUGUCCAAGACAGAAAUUUGUUCGGUUUUGCCUGUUAUCUAAGAGGUUUGGAAAAAUAUCCAAAAAAGAUUCAUAAAAUUGGCAUAGAUUCCAUUAUUAGGCUAUUAUUUUUUUCCUCUCUUUUUUUUUUU
Molecule: long non-coding RNA, 1776 nt
Organism: Astatotilapia calliptera (eastern happy)
Lineage: Eukaryota; Metazoa; Chordata; Actinopteri; Cichliformes; Cichlidae
Source: Ensembl